Molecule: unclassified non-coding RNA, 201 nt
Filed under: Hevea brasiliensis (rubber tree)
Lineage: Eukaryota; Viridiplantae; Streptophyta; Magnoliopsida; Malpighiales; Euphorbiaceae
Source: RNAcentral
AAAGAAGGCACUCUUGGCAAAAGGCUUAUCUGAUCUACAUAUCCAAUCUCUGCAAAAUGCAUAAAGUUUGAUAGGUGAAAAUUCCUUUCUUAAAAGAAUGCAAAACAUACAACGGUAAAAAACCAUUUGUCAAUCUUGCCACCAAUCCAUAGCUACUACUUCUAUCAUACUAUCUAGAUAGCCAUGUACCUUCAGUUGGGG